RNAcentral lists this ribosomal RNA (158 nucleotides) under Brunneoclavispora bambusae. RNAcentral describes it as "5.8S ribosomal RNA". It matches the Rfam family "5.8S ribosomal RNA". From Rfam's summary of the family: 5.8S ribosomal RNA (5.8S rRNA) is a component of the large subunit of the eukaryotic ribosome. Lineage: Eukaryota; Fungi; Ascomycota; Dothideomycetes; Pleosporales; Halotthiaceae. The record is from RNAcentral.
AAACUUUCAACAACGGAUCUCUUGGUUCUGGCAUCGAUGAAGAACGCAGCGAAAUGCGAUAAGUAGUGUGAAUUGCAGAAUUCAGUGAAUCAUCGAAUCUUUGAACGCACAUUGCGCCCCUUGGUAUUCCUUGGGGCAUGCCUGUUCGAGCGUCAUUU